This 65-nucleotide transfer RNA is filed under the name Cavia porcellus (domestic guinea pig). It matches the Rfam family "tRNA", at positions 1 to 62 of the family's 71-position model. From Rfam's summary of the family: Transfer RNA (tRNA) molecules are approximately 80 nucleotides in length. Their secondary structure includes four short double-helical elements and three loops (D, anti-codon, and T loops). Lineage: Eukaryota; Metazoa; Chordata; Mammalia; Rodentia; Caviidae. The record is from Rfam by way of RNAcentral.
GGGGAUUUAGCUCAGUGGUUCAAAGCACUUGCUUGGUAAGCAUGAGGUUGUGAGUUCAAUCCCCA